CAUCCAUGUUGUCAUCUCAUCAUUUGGAUGAUAGCUCGUUGAUUUUCAUAAAUGACGAAAAGUUUUUCUUUUCUGCUUUUCUAUCUUGCAGAACUUCUAGUCUCUAUUUGGCUGGCCUAUAAUUGACAUAAUUCUUGAUUUCUUUCAGGGCAUUUUUGGAUCAUUAUAUAGAUGCUUAGCAAGGGGGGCAAGAGCAGUUUUCCAAGUUUAUCCAGAAAGUAUAGCUCAGCGUGAGUUGAUUUUGAGUUCUGCUAUGCGUGCUAGAUUUGCAGGUGGUGUGGUGGUUGACUACCCACACAGCACGAUGAGCAGGAAAGAAUACCUUGUGCUUACUUGUGGGCCGCCAUCGAUCAGCACUGCCGUACCAAA
This is a long non-coding RNA of Syzygium oleosum, 369 nucleotides long. RefSeq lists it as uncharacterized. Lineage: Eukaryota; Viridiplantae; Streptophyta; Magnoliopsida; Myrtales; Myrtaceae. The transcript has 2 exons. The record is from RefSeq and is a predicted model, not a curated record.